ACGCCGGAAUCUUACCGGGACCGACAGCAAUAUCCUUUUGGGGCUGAAGACUUUGCCGGAUUAGCUGAGAGGUGGUGUUUGGCCGUCGUCAGUUCGUACUGUGAAGCAUCCUGUUAAGUCAGGCAACGAGCGAGACCCACGCCCACAGUUGCCAGCGUACUCUCUGGAGUGACGGGUACACUGUGGGGACCGCCGCUGCUAAAGCGGAGGAAGGAAUGGGCAACGGUAGGUCAGUAUGCCCCGAAUAUCCCGGGCUACACGCGAGCUACAAUGGUUGGUACAAUGGGUAUCUACCCCGAAAGGGGACGGGAAUCUCCUAAAACCAAUCUUAGUUCGGAUUGAGGGCUGCAACUCGCCCUCAUGAAGCUGGAAUCCGUAGUAAUCGCGUUUCAACAGAACGCGGUGAAUACGUCCCUGCUCCUUGCACACACCGCCCGUCAAACCACCCGAGUAGGGUCUGAAUGAGAGCGCUUUCUUUGGAGGCGUUCGAAUUUGGGCUUUGCAAGGGGGGUUAAGUCGUAACAAGGUAACCAAGGGCGAAU
Molecule: ribosomal RNA, 542 nt
Filed under: uncultured archaeon
Lineage: Archaea
Description: bacterial SSU rRNA
Rfam family: Archaeal small subunit ribosomal RNA
Source: RNAcentral